This 199-nucleotide long non-coding RNA is filed under the name Trifolium pratense (red clover). RNAcentral's name for it is "long non-coding RNA (TPRA_LNC012194)". The record is from RNAcentral. Lineage: Eukaryota; Viridiplantae; Streptophyta; Magnoliopsida; Fabales; Fabaceae.
GUUUGGACCGACUCAAAUUACUUAAUACAUCUGCCCACUACUGGUGCUUUCUUUACAUGGACAAAUGGUAGAGGUGGUUCUCGACACACUGAUAGAAGAAGACUUGACAGGACCAUUUGUAACCAAGCUUGGUUAGAUGCUUGUACAUCUUUGAAUUGCUCAACCCUGUUUAGAAAUAGAUCUGAUUAUUUUCCUUUGC